RNAcentral lists this ribosomal RNA (469 nucleotides) under uncultured bacterium. RNAcentral's name for it is "partial 16S ribosomal RNA". It matches the Rfam family "Bacterial small subunit ribosomal RNA", at positions 28 to 507 of the family's 1533-position model. The record is from RNAcentral.
GAUGAACGCUGGCGGCGUGCUUAACACAUGCAAGUCGAACGAUGAUCCCCCGCUUGCGGUGGUGAUUUGUUGCCAACGGGUGAGUAAUACGUGAGUAACCUGCCCUUCACUCUGGGUUAAGCCUGUUAAACCGGGUCUAAUACUGGAUACUACUUCCUGUCGCCUGGUGGGGGGUGGAGUGGGAUUUGCUCGUUGUGUAUGGGCUCACGGCCUAACGGCUUGUUGGUGUAGUAAUGGCUAGCCAAGGCGACGACGGGUAGCCGGCCUGAGAGAGUGAGCGGCCGCACUGAGACUGAGACACGGCCCAGACACCUACGGGAGGGAGCAGGGGGGAAUAUUGAACAAUGGGCGCAAGCCUGAUGCAGCGACGCCGCGGGACGGAAGACGGCGUUAGGGUUGUAAACCUUAUGCAGCAGGGAAGAAGCCAAAAGUGACGGUACCUGAAGAAGAAGCGCCGGCUAACUACGUG